CUUCAGGUUUGUCACUUGGAAUGAGAGCAAUUUAAAUAAAUCAUCGAGUAACAAUUGGAGGGCAAGUCUGGUGCCAGCAGCCGCGGUAAUUCCGGCUCCAAUAGCGUAUACUAAUAUUGCUGCAGUUAAAAAGCUCGUAGUUGAAUUUCUGGUGACACGGUCUGGCCGGUUACUUAACUGUGACUUGUGCCAUCGCCUUGUUGCCAUCUUUUGGUUUAACCAAUCUGGCAUUAGGUUGUCGGGUUGGUGAUACCAAUCGUUUACUGUGAAGAAAUUAGAGUGUUCAAAGCAGGCUUAUGCCGUUGAAUAUUUUAGCAUGGAAUAAUAAGAUAGGACUUUGGUGCUAUUUUGUUGGUUUGCGCACUAGAGUAAUGAUUAAUAGGGACAGUUGGGGAUAUUUGUACUAGGGAAUUAGAGGUGAAAUUCUUGGAUUUCCUUAUGACAAACGACUGCGAAAGCAUUUAUCAGGGAUGUUUUCAUUAAUCAAGAACGAAAGUUAGGGGAUCGAAGAUGAUUAGAUACCAUCGUAGUCUUAACCAUAAACUAUGCCGACUAGGGAUGGGCGGAGAUCUACUACGACUCCGUCCGCACCUGAUGAAAAAUCACAAGUCAUUGGGCUCCGGGGGGAGUAUGUUCGCAAGGAUGAAACUUAAAGGAAUUGACGGAAGGGCACCACCAGGAGCAGCCUGCGGCUUAAUUUGACCCAACACGGGAAAACUUACCAGAUCAAGACAUAUGGGAAGAUUGACAGAUUGAGAGCUCUUUCUUGAUUCUAUGGGUGGUGGUGCAUGGCCGCUCUUAGUUGGUGGAGUGAUUUGUCUGGUUAAUUCCGUUAACGAACGAGACCCCCGCCUGCUAAAUAGAUUGGUGAAUGGUUAUACCAUUGACUGAAUCUUCUUAGAGGGACUCCUCGUUUCAAACGAGGGGAAGCUGGGGGCAAUAACAGGUCUGUGAUGCCCUUAGAUGUUCUGGGCCGCACGCGUGCUACACUGAUGCGUGCAUCGAGUAUAUAACCUUGUCCGAGAGGAUUGGGUAAUCUUUUAACGCGCAUCGUGAUAGGGAUAGAUUAUUGCAAUUUUUAAUCUUGAACGAGGAAUUCCUAGUAAACGCAGUUCAUCAAACUGCAUUGAUUACGUCCCUGCCCUUUGUACACACCGCCCGUCGCACCUACCGAUUGAGUGGUCCGGUGAAGCCUCGGGAUUGCCGUUUACUUCUUCGGAUGCAGACAGCAAGAACUUGUCUAAACCUUAUCACUUAGAGGAAGGUGAAGUCGU
RNAcentral lists this ribosomal RNA (1274 nucleotides) under metagenome. RNAcentral describes it as "SSU rRNA". It matches the Rfam family "Eukaryotic small subunit ribosomal RNA", at positions 494 to 1792 of the family's 1831-position model. The record is from RNAcentral.